Molecule: long non-coding RNA, 827 nt
Filed under: Mytilus galloprovincialis (Mediterranean mussel)
Lineage: Eukaryota; Metazoa; Mollusca; Bivalvia; Mytilida; Mytilidae
Source: RNAcentral
UUUCCAGCAUGUAAAACGUGCAAUAUACUAAGGCAUGUGUUUAGGGGGACGAGCUUGGAAUUGGCCCUUAUGCUACUCAGUUCAGGCGCUAAUGGAUGGCGAAGGGACAAAGAUGAUCACUUUUAAAUAACUUACUCUUUCUAAGGCUUCAUCAUUUGUCAGAAGCUUGUACAUUGUGGAUGUUCUGGGGAAUGCGGUUCAAUGCCAAAAAAAACUACAUCCUAAGCAUCAGAAACAAAAGCCAUAAAAUCUUCAGUUUAAAUGGACACAUACUACAACAACUCAAGCAUAACCCGUAACUAGGCCUACACAUUUCGGAAGACCUCAAAUGGACCACCCACAUAUUAAACGUGGCAAAGAAAGCAAAUUCAACACUAGGCUCUCAAAGAAGAAACUUGAAAUACUGCCCACAAUAUUACAAAAAAACUGCUUGUUGAUCAACGAUGGAAUAUGGAUCCAUAGUAUGGGGCCCCUACAUUGUAACAAACAUAAAUUAGCUAGAAAGAAGGAAUACAACGUCAAGCGAGGCAAGAUUUAUCACCAUAGAUUACAAGUCAAGAGAGGACGGGUGGUUUCCAAUAUGCUAGCCGAACUGAAACUACAAAACCUCCGGACAAUUGCAAGACGAACAAGCUAGAAGUUGAUAUUUAUGUACAAAGUGGUUUAGGGGCUGAUUCCCGCUAUUGAACCAGACGAAUUUCCCCAAAAAGCACAUCCUAAGUGAAAAAUAACUACCAAGAAGUCGAAGAAUACCACGCAACAAAUAUUUUGAAAAAGCAAAUAAAGAAUCACUCUAAGUAUUUUGACAUUCCACUAAGCAAAACACC